GAAGAGCAAAGAGUGCUUUUGAGACCCCAAA
This 31-nucleotide non-coding RNA is filed under the name Homo sapiens (human). The record is from RNAcentral. Lineage: Eukaryota; Metazoa; Chordata; Mammalia; Primates; Hominidae.